This 485-nucleotide ribosomal RNA is filed under the name uncultured bacterium. Its description in RNAcentral is "partial 16S ribosomal RNA". It matches the Rfam family "Bacterial small subunit ribosomal RNA", at positions 30 to 507 of the family's 1533-position model. The record is from RNAcentral.
AUUGAACGCUGGCGGCAGGCUUAACACAUGCAAGUCGAGCGGGGAAAGGUAGCUUGCUACCUGACCUAGCGGCGGACGGGUGAGUAAUGCUUAGGAAUCUGCCUAUUAGUGGGGGACAACAUCUCGAAAGGGAUGCUAAUACCGCAUACGUCCUACGGGAGAAAGCAGGGGACCUUCGGGCCUUGCGCUAAUAGAUGAGCCUAAGUCGGAUUAGCUAGUUGGUGGGGUAAAGGCCUACCAAGGCGACGAUCUGUAGCGGGUCUGAGAGGAUGAUCCGCCACACUGGGACUGAGACACGGCCCAGACUCCUACGGGAGGCAGCAGUGGGGAAUAUUGGACAAUGGGGGGAACCCUGAUCCAGCCAUGCCGCGGGUGUGAAGAAGGCCUUUUGGUUGUAAAGCACUUUAAGCGAGGAGGAGGCUACCGAGAUUAAUACUCUUGGAUAGUGGACAUUACUCGCAGAAUAAGCACCGGCUAACUCUGUG